RNAcentral lists this long non-coding RNA (1512 nucleotides) under Ovis aries (sheep). Its description in RNAcentral is "lncRNA (ENSOARG00000025561.1)". Lineage: Eukaryota; Metazoa; Chordata; Mammalia; Artiodactyla; Bovidae. The record is from RNAcentral.
UAAUUUGAUAGAUGAGAAAAUUGAUGCCAAGAAGGUUAAAUAAUUUUCUAAGAUAACAAAGCUGAUCAUCCAUAGAACUGGGAAUUUAUUUCAGGCUCUUUGACUUCAAAUCCUCUGUUCUAUUUUAUUAAAACAGUUUUUUCAACACUUGAUUUGUGACCUAUUCAUGACUUCCAAAGUAAUUUUUAAAGUAUCACAGAGUGCAACGUGAAAUAAGAGACAGUAUUGUCUUGUGAAACUUUUGUUUUAGUCUUUACAUUCAUGUGAAUAUAUGUGUAAGGGAUGUGGUAUAAAUUGUAUUUAUCAGAGUCAAAGUAAUUUGAAAACCAAUGCGUUAAAUUGCACUUUUUCUACACUAUAUUAACCCCUUGAGGGUAGGGAUUUAAUUUUAUUCAAUACUGUAACUCAAGAUCAUAGCUGAUCUUAAGAAUUUUAUUCAAUACUGUAACUCAAGAUCAUAACUGAUCUUAAGUUGUUUUUUUUUUUUGCUGACUAUGGCUAUUUUAUAAUCAAAAUGUCAUUCUAUUAUUAAAUUUGUGGGUACAGGCAGAGUUUCACCUGAAUGAUGAACUGUUAAUUAUGAAAUAUAUCUUCCAACUGUGAGAUGGAAAUGGAAAGUAUGCUCAAGCCUGCUAUAGGUAUAGACUGAGGCUUUCUUCCCAUGGUAUUGACCUUGAAGGAAUUACAAUUUCCCAACUGGGCUGCUGGGCUGGGGAAUUCACAGGCUUGCAUCCGUUUCUCAGAGUCAGGCUACUGGCUGGGAAGCAUAGCAUCAAGCGUGGAGUCUCAAUUUCCUUGGUCACUCAAGAAACUUGCUUUCAUCAUCUUAGAUUACAUUUUUGGUCACUAGAACUACACUCUCAAGAGUACUUUCAGCUUCCUGUAGCUUUCUUCUUUUGCCCUUUUCCAAAAAAAAAAAAAAAAAAAAAAACUCAAACUCUCCAUUCACUUUAACAACUGGCACUCUUAAGGAAAACCAUAUAACAUGUGGUUUGGAGCCACAACCAAUCCAUAGUCUCUGACAUUAGCUGUGCCCUUUGCUUACUUGUCCCUGGUCAGUUCCCUUUCCCAUUUUCCUCAGAAACUGUUCUUAGUCUUCACUCCUUUCUUCUCACUCUUGCUUUUCUAUUCAUUUCUUCAUGCUCAGCAGAUGAGCUUUUGUACGAUAUCAUCAGAGGCUUUAGGCAAUCUGAAAUAAACAGCUUUGACCACUGAGCAACCAUCUGUGGAUUAUCUAAAGAAGACCUACAUACUCCCUCCCUCCAUUCCUCUUAUCCUUCAUCUUAAAACAAGAUAUUUUACUCUUGCAACAUUCUUCUGCUCCCACACAGACAUCAUUUAUUGUCCACUUUGUCCUAUACCUUCAACCUCUUCUUCAUUACUGGCUCUAUCACCUCAGACUAUUAACAUAUUAAUCAAGAAUAACAUUAACAUGAAAGAAAACCAGAAAUCUCAACUCUCCUAAUUGCCACCUGUUGAUGUCCCUUUAGCCAAGCAUCUUAAAAUAUAUUA